RNAcentral lists this ribosomal RNA (433 nucleotides) under uncultured bacterium. RNAcentral describes it as "partial 16S ribosomal RNA". It matches the Rfam family "Bacterial small subunit ribosomal RNA", at positions 29 to 507 of the family's 1533-position model. The record is from RNAcentral.
AGCGAACGCUGGCGGCAGGCCUAACACAUGCAAGUCGAACGAACUCUUCGGAGUUAGUGGCGGACGGGUGAGUAACACGUGGGAACGUGCCUUUAGGUUCGGAAUAACUCAGGGAAACUUGUGCUAAUACCGAAUGUGCCCUUCGGGGGAAAGAUUUAUCGCCUUUAGAGCGGCCCGCGUCUGAUUAGCUAGUUGGUGAGGUAAAGGCUCACCAAGGGGACGAUCAGUAGCUGGUCUGAGAGGAUGAUCAGCCACAUUGGGACUGAGACACGGCCCAAACUCCUACGGGAGGCAGCAGUGGGGAAUCUUGCGCAAUGGGCGAAAGCCUGACGCAGCCAUGCCGGGUGAAUGAUGAAGGUCUUAGGAUUGUAAAAUUCUUUCACCGGGGACGAUAAUGACGGUACCCGGAGAAGAAGCCCCGGCUAACUUCGUG